This is a long non-coding RNA of Myiozetetes cayanensis, 1094 nucleotides long. RefSeq lists it as uncharacterized. NCBI's taxonomy places the organism in Eukaryota, Metazoa, Chordata, Aves, Passeriformes, Tyrannidae. The record is from RefSeq and is a predicted model, not a curated record. The transcript has 5 exons.
GAGAGCACACAGUAUGAAUGUCAGCACAAGAAGUGGAAGAGCAACUGGGUGUCCCAAGUUCCAGACUGGCAGCCUCUCCAGGAAUUGCUGGUUUUCCUCUGGCUGCUGUGUGAUGCUCAGCUCUUCUGUUCCUGAAGUGGAAACCGUGCUGGGGCUCAGCUGAUGGAGAAAACCCCCAUGUUUUGGAGCUGGCAUCUCCUGUCAAGGACCAAGGUGCAGUUGAUAUCCUCCUGGCUGGUGAUGGAGAGCAGAGCUGGGGUGAUGCACUAAUUCAACCAAAGCUGGGGACGUCUGUGACCUUCACAGCCGAGGGAUGUCAGCUGAGGGAUGAGAACCGCGUGCCAAGAGGAAGAAAGAGCUGCCACAGAUGGAUGAAGGCCAUCCCUUUCACACACGAAGCACAGCGAGCCCAAACCGGAUCCCCAUUCUCCAUGGGGAUCAGCCUGCAGGGAUGAUGAGAGAAGCAGAGUGAGUCCCCGGCCCUCUCCAGAGCUGGACUGCAAAACCACAGGCUUCAGCAAAGCCUUUUGAGCCAGCCCACCUCCCAGCAGAGUGACUGUCCCUUUCUCUCGACUCGGAGCUGGAAAUAAUGACAGGAUACUCCUCUCUGCAGACCCGCCCGACAGAGAGCGGGGAGGGAUCCACUGUGAAGCCCCAAAACCAAUCUUGAGGAAGAAACACAGCUUGCCUCCCAUCUUCCACCCCUGCAAACCCAAAGGGAGGGACUAUCUGUGGAUGUCCCUUUGGUCAGAAUCCUGGGCAAGGCAGCACCCCUGGGUGCUCAGCAGUCUCUUUGAGGAGGUUCUGUUUAGGCUGGCUACUGCUGAUCCCAGCCUGUCCUCAGCACACAGAUGCUUUUAACCUCUUGAGGAGGGGUUGGAGUGGCCAGCAGCUGCUGAGGACAUUGCCACAAUUCAGCCAUGUGCCUGCUCAGGACACAGACUGUAAACACAGUAGGGAAUCCAGGCCAUAGCCCAGCCCAGCCUGGCUGCCUGCCUCAAGUUCCCCAUCGCCCAGAAUUUGGAGCUUGCCUCUUUUUCCAUUACCUCUAAGCAGAAAUGGUGAAUGUUUCGGUAACUUUUCCUAAAAAUAAA